Molecule: long non-coding RNA, 1494 nt
Filed under: Capra hircus (goat)
Lineage: Eukaryota; Metazoa; Chordata; Mammalia; Artiodactyla; Bovidae
Description: lncRNA (ENSCHIG00010013568.1)
Source: RNAcentral
GAUUUCUUUCUGGUCAAGGGGAAAAACACCAGAGAGGCAUAAAUAUACCAUUUUAAAAAGGAAGAAACCUCUGUCUGAGAGGCACCUGAAAACCUUUCCCAAGCAGGCUGAAUUCUCUCAGGGUAUUGUUUCACCAGAAUAUACUUUCUACAUUCACAGACUGGAGGGAAAGUUUCCAACAGAUCUUUUUUGCUGAUAGUUUUGAUUAUUCUCCAGUAAAAAAAUUUCAAAGGCUUUUUGCCAGAUGGAAGAAAUGUGGGGAGGCAGAGGGAAGUGGCAUGAUAGUAGCCCCUUCUGAACAAAUAACAGAGCCCAAAGUAGUGACAGCCAGUAUUUCAGUCCUAAAUGCUUUGCAAAUUAUAGUCCUUGGACCACUAGAUAACAGCAAUAACCUGACAGAAUCUACUGUUAUCCUUUAAGAUAUUAACAUAAACUGUACUGGAAGUAUUCCCCACUCAGAUUCUCUUCAUUUUGCUAAAAAUAUUUUUUUCUCAUGUUUGACAGCACCACUGUCUUUGGGUCUCUGACUCUGCUGAAGUCAUUUGAAGAAACAGAUCUAGAGAAACAUUGCUUGGCAGAGGAUAAGAGAGAAAGGUUAGGACCGAAAGCAUUAAGUUGCCUAUCCAAGAAAGGGAAUCAGUUUGAAUGGCAAGAGGGCCGCAGAAAGAUAAAAACAUUAAAGAGAGUAUAAUCAAGAUAUCCUUCUGCAUCUCUGUUGAAAUCACAUCACCUACUUAUGUGUCUGAAGUCUGUUCAAAUAUAUUAUCUUACUUUGAUAAAGGCAGCUUGGAACCCAAUAAAGUAGACUGAAUUAGUAUUAUCAUCCCAUUUUACAGAUGAGAAAACUGACUUGUUUGGAAUAUAAUACUUAUUUUGAUGGAUUAAUCUCUGUAAUGAACUGGAUUCUAUAUUGGAUUUCAUUUUCUCUCUCUGUUUACACAUGGGCAUACAACCUAGAGUUGAUUUUAAAGUUACUGAAUGAAACCUGGGUGCAGAGCAGUCUCAUUCAGGCAGGCCUACACAUGUCAGGGAGAUAAGCCUGUCCAGGCUGACCUUGUACUUUGCUUAUUGAUUCUAGGCCACAGUAGGACAGUAGGCCAAUAAACAGGAAAUAAAAAUUCUUCAGGCGAAUAAAUUAGAACUUUUAUAUACUCAUCUUGUGUGGACAGAAUUCCUCAUUUGAUGUUAGAAAGGACCAGAGAGCAGUUUGGUCAGUUAAUAUGUAGGCAAAAAAAGCAGCAGCCAUAUUCCUGAAAUAAAUAUGUUGGAGGUGAAGUUAAAUAUAUAUAUUGGAAAAAAUAAAUAAAUAAAUAUAUUGGAAACAUUCAAGCUGAGGGCUCAACAAGAAACUCACUCACACUUUACCUUUGAUUUAUGAGGAAGGCCUAAACAUAGAAAUAAUUAACUUGUAAAUUAAUUAAAUGAUUAUUUGAUACUAUUUACUGAAAUAUCAAUAGCCUCAGAUAUGCAGAUGACACCACCCUUAUGGCAGAA